GAUGAACGCUGGCGGCGUGCCUAAUACAUGCAAGUCGAGCGAACAGACGAGGAGCUUGCUCCUCUGACGUUAGCGGCGGACGGGAGAGUAACACGUGGAUAACCUACCUAUAAGACUGGGAUAACUUCGGGAAACCGGAGCUAAUACCGGAUAAUAUAUUGAACCGCAUGGUUCAAUAGUGAAAGACGGUUUUGCUGUCACUUAUAGAUGGAUCCGCGCCGCAUUAGCUAGUUGGUAAGGUAAAGGCUUACCAAGGGAACGAGGGGUAGCCGACCUGAGAGGGUGAUCGCCCACACUGGAACUGGGACACGGUCCAGACUCCUACGGGAGGCAGCAGUAGGGAAUCUUCCGCAAUGGGCGAAAGCCUGACGGAGCAACGCCGCGUGAGUGAUGAAGGUCUUCGGAUCGUAAAACUCUGUUAUUAGGGAAGAACAAAUGUGUAAGUAACUAUGCACGUCUUGACGGUACCUAAUCAGAAAGCCACGGCUAACUACGUG
Molecule: ribosomal RNA, 497 nt
Filed under: uncultured bacterium
Lineage: Bacteria
Description: partial 16S ribosomal RNA
Rfam family: Bacterial small subunit ribosomal RNA
Source: RNAcentral